GAGUUUGAUCCUGGCUCAGGAUGAACGCUAGCGACAGGCUUAACACAUGCAAGUCGAGGGGCAUCACGGGAGGUAGCAAUACAUGGGUGGCGACCGGCGCACGGGUGCGUAACGCGUAUCCAACCUUCCCGAUACUCUUGGAUAGCCUUCCGAAAGGGAGAUUAAUACAAGAUGGUGUUUCACUUUCGCAUGUUAUUGAAACUAAAGAUUUAUCGGUAUCGGAUGGGGAUGCGUGACAUUAGAUAGUAGGCGGGGUAACGGCCCACCUAGUCUACGAUGUCUAGGGGUUCUGAGAGGAAGGUCCCCCACACUGGAACUGAGACACGGUCCAGACUCCUACGGGAGGCAGCAGUGAGGAAUAUUGGUCAAUGGUCGGAAGACUGAACCAGCCAAGUAGCGUGAAGGAUGAAGGUUCUAUGGAUUGUAAACUUCUUUUAUACGGGAAUAAAACCUCCCACGUGUGGGAGCUUGUAUGUACCGUAUGAAUAAGCAUCGGCUAACUCCGUGCCAGCAGCCGCGGUAAUACGGAGGAUGCGAGCGUUAUCCGGAUUUAUUGGGUUUAAAGGGAGCGUAGACGGGAGAUUAAGUCAGUUGUGAAAGGCUGCGGCUCAACCGCAGCACUGCAGUUGAUACUGGUUUCCUUGAGUGCGGUUGAGGUGUAUGGAAUUCGUGGUGUAGCGGUGAAAUGCUUAGAUAUCACGAAGAACUCCGAUUGCGAAGGCAGUACACUAAGCCGUAACUGACGUUGAGGCUCGAAAGCGUGGGGAGCAAACAGGAUUAGAUACCCUGGUAGUCCACGCAGUAAACGAUGGAUGUUAGCUGUUCGGAGCGAAUGAGUUCUGAGUGGCACAGCGAAAGCGUUAAACAUCCCACCUGGGGAGUACGCCGGCAACGGUGAAACUCAAAGGAAUUGACGGGGGCCCGCACAAGCGGAGGAACAUGUGGUUUAAUUCGAUGAUACGCGAGGAACCUUACCCGGGCUCAAACGGCACAGUGAUACUUUUGAAAGGAGGUAGCUCUACGGAGACUGUGCCGAGGUGCUGCAUGGUUGUCGUCAGCUCGUGCCGUGAGGUGUCGGCUUAAGUGCCAUAACGAGCGCAACCCCUAUUGUCAGUUGCCAGCAGGUAAAGCUGGGGACUCUGACGAGACUGCCGGCGCAAGCUGAGAGGAAGGCGGGGAUGACGUCAAAUCAGCACGGCCCUUACGUCCGGGGCGACACACGUGUUACAAUGGCAGGCACAGCGGGAAGCCACCCGGCGACGGGGAGCGGAACCCGAAAGCCUGUCUCAGUUCGGAUCGGAGUCUGCAACUCGACUCCGUGAAGCUGGAUUCGCUAGUAAUCGCGCAUCAGCCAUGGCGCGGUGAAUACGUUCCCGGGCCUUGCACACACCGCCCGU
RNAcentral lists this ribosomal RNA (1397 nucleotides) under uncultured bacterium. RNAcentral describes it as "bacterial SSU rRNA". It matches the Rfam family "Bacterial small subunit ribosomal RNA". The record is from RNAcentral.